AUGGCCACCGUGAUGUUGUCCUGUGACGCUGCUCCAAAAGAAUCAUGCCAUGGGCUUGAAGAUGGAUGCGACGAACCGAAGUGCAAGGAAUAUUGUGUGCUCACUUGUUACACCAAGGGAUCUCAUUGUAGGGCUGAAGAUUGUUGUUGUUUGAUUGCUGCCAAGCCCAUGGUGGACGUGCUCCGUCGUCAUGAUUGA
This 198-nucleotide ribosomal RNA is filed under the name Triticum aestivum (bread wheat). RNAcentral's name for it is "partial small subunit ribosomal RNA". The record is from RNAcentral. Lineage: Eukaryota; Viridiplantae; Streptophyta; Magnoliopsida; Poales; Poaceae.